UACGUAGGGUCCGAGCGUUGUCCGGAAUUAUUGGGCGUAAAGAGCUCGUAGGCGGUUUGUCGCGUCUGCUGUGAAAUCCCGAGGCUCAACCUCGGGCCUGCAGUGGGUACGGGCAGACUGGAGUGCGGUAGGGGAGAAUGGAAUUCCUGGUGUAGCGGUGGAAUGCGCAGAUAUCAGGAAGAACACCAAUGGCGAAAGCAGCUUUCUGGGACGGUACUGACGCUGAGACGCGAAAGCGUGGGGAGCGAACAGG
This 253-nucleotide ribosomal RNA is filed under the name uncultured bacterium. RNAcentral describes it as "partial 16S ribosomal RNA". It matches the Rfam family "Bacterial small subunit ribosomal RNA", at positions 524 to 776 of the family's 1533-position model. The record is from RNAcentral.